Heterocephalus glaber (naked mole-rat) is the source of this 991-nucleotide non-coding RNA. NCBI's taxonomy places the organism in Eukaryota, Metazoa, Chordata, Mammalia, Rodentia, Bathyergidae. The record is from RefSeq and is a predicted model, not a curated record.
CCAUGUUUAUCAUUUUAACAAUCAUUCUUUGUUUGGGAGGGGAACAACCUGGAAACCACCUGCAGAGGAGACUCUUAACACUCCAAAACCUGGUAACAUUAUUUGGCUUAGCCAGCCAGGAGACCAGGUUUUCUAAGGGAAAAUCCAGGGAUAAGUGAGGAAAGGGUUCCUGUUUCAAGUGCAAGAAGACUGGACACUGGGCACAAGACUGCACCAAGCCUCUGCCUGGGUCCUGCUCUGAAUGUGAGGCAGGCUCAGAAGUUAGGCACUCUUGUGAACAAGUAAUCUCCCAAACCUAUGCAAGCAGGCAGGACAUCAGUGACCUGACCCUCCAAGACUCUGAGGAUGUAUGGUUCACUGAUGUUUUUUUCUUUCUUUAACCCAGCCAGUGAGCCACAACACCCUAAGGUAGGUGGAGAGCACAUAAUCCCCAGUAGGUAGGGUUUACAGCCCCUUAGCCCUCCAAUCUCUCAGCAACCCAUAAAGAAUUAUGGGGAUCUGUGUCUCUCUGGGGAAAAUGAGAUAGCAAGAUAGGGAAUGGCUUAAACUGGUUGGGAAGGAAGGUGUGACCAGAUCCCAGUACACAUGUGCCAAAUAAUUCUCAGGAUUCCAUAUAUGGACCUGCAAUGUUUGGAAUGAAUAAAAAGACAAGACCUCAUUAAGCACUCACUGUUGUGCAUUUUGAUUUUAGUUUUCCUUUCUUCUAUUUAGCCCAAGUUUGCUCUGAAGAGCCAAUUUGUUCGUUACCCUUUAUUUUUAAUUUUUCCUACCUCAAAUAAAUGUAAAACUUUGCUACUGUUUUUGCUUGUUUCAUUCAUUUCUGUACUUGAGAGAGGAAGAACCUGGAAGUCACCUUUAGAAGAAAACUCCAGUACUCCAAAACCCGAUAACAUACCUAAAGAAAAUGUGGUGCUCUCCAAACUUUCACAAACUGAACACAUGAGGUAAUUAAUACCUAUAUGAAGAAACAAAAUACUUUGUUUUAGUUAAA